RNAcentral lists this transfer RNA (65 nucleotides) under Berthella plumula. RNAcentral describes it as "tRNA-Ala". Lineage: Eukaryota; Metazoa; Mollusca; Gastropoda; Pleurobranchida; Pleurobranchidae. The record is from RNAcentral.
GGUGUUAUACUUUAAAUUUAGAAGGUUUGAUUUGCAGUCAAUUAGUGAAUAGUAUUCUAAUACCA